AUUGAACGCUGGCGGCAUGCCUUACACAUGCAAGUCGAACGGUAACAGGUCUUCGGAUGCUGACGAGUGGCGAACGGGUGAGUAAUACAUCGGAACGUGCCUAGUAGUGGGGGAUAACUACUCGAAAGAGUGGCUAAUACCGCAUGAGAUCUACGGAUGAAAGCAGGGGAUCGCAAGACCUUGUGCUACUAGAGCGGCCGAUGGCAGAUUAGGUAGUUGGUGGGAUAAAAGCUUACCAAGCCGACGAUCUGUAGCUGGUCUGAGAGGACGAUCAGCCACACUGGGACGAGGACACGGCCCAGACUCCUGCGGGAGGCAGCAGUGGGGAAUUUUGGACAAUGGGCGCAGGCCUGAUCCAGCAAUGCCGCGUGCAGGAUGAAGGCCUUCGGGUUGUAAACUGCUUUUGUACGGAACGAAAAGCCCUGGGUUAAUACCCUGGGGUCAUGACGGUACCGUAAGAAUAAGCACCGGCUAACUACGUGCCAGCCGCCGCGGUAA
RNAcentral lists this ribosomal RNA (498 nucleotides) under uncultured bacterium. RNAcentral describes it as "partial 16S ribosomal RNA". It matches the Rfam family "Bacterial small subunit ribosomal RNA", at positions 30 to 523 of the family's 1533-position model. The record is from RNAcentral.